UGGGGAACAUUGCACAAUGGGGGAAACCCUGAUGCAGCGACGCCGCGUGAACGAAGAAGGUAUUCGUAUCGUAAAGUUCUGUCCUAUGGGAAGAUAAUGACAGUACCAUAGAAGAAAGCUCCGGCUAAAUACGUGCCAGCAGCCGCGGUAAUACGUAUGGAGCGAGCGUUGUCCGGAAUUAUUGGGCGUAAAGGGUACGCAGGCGGUUUAAUAAGUCGAAUGUUAAAGAUCGGGGCUCAACCCCGCAAAGCAUUGGAAACUGAUAAACUUGAGUAGUGGAGAGGAAAGUGGAAUUCCUAGUGUAGUAGUGAAAUACGUAGAUAUUAGGAGGAAUAACAGUAGCGAAAGCGACUUUCUGGACACAAACUGACGCUGAGGUACGAAAGCGUGGGGAGCAAACAGG
This 403-nucleotide ribosomal RNA is filed under the name bacterium. RNAcentral's name for it is "partial 16S ribosomal RNA". It matches the Rfam family "Bacterial small subunit ribosomal RNA", at positions 355 to 776 of the family's 1533-position model. The record is from RNAcentral.